RNAcentral lists this long non-coding RNA (1216 nucleotides) under Phasianus colchicus (ring-necked pheasant). RNAcentral's name for it is "lncRNA (ENSPCLG00000011169.1)". Lineage: Eukaryota; Metazoa; Chordata; Aves; Galliformes; Phasianidae. The record is from RNAcentral.
AGAAACCAGUAGGGGAGGGACAUCCUUCAGGUGGGGCACGGGGGUGGGUGCAGAGCCAACCCUGCAGCCUCUGGUUUGCUGGCAAAACUGCUCUUGGGCAGAGCAACUCCUCCACAUCCUGCAAAGUGCACAUCUGUGACUGCAUCCCGUGAUGGUGUCUGUGUGCAGCACCACGUGGCUGUUGGCUCGUGUUCAAUUUGUGACCUGCAGCAACCCCGAACUUUCUGCAGUCCUGGCUUGCCAGCAAUACCUUACGAGUUAAUUAGAUUCCCUGGACUUUUUGAUCACGCUUCCAGUUUAUCAGAAUCGCUAUUGAUCCUCAGCUUAUCCUCCAGUGUACUGCCAGCCCUGGUGCGGGGUCAUCUGCAAGUCUAAUAAUUCUUUCUAUUCCAUCAUUUAGGUCAGGAAUGAAAACACCAACUAGUGCUAGACCUUGGCCCCCAGCAUAUCCCUGGCACAUACAUCCUUCUGUCUUGACAGCAGACCAUAGGUGGGAUUCCAGCAGCAUCCUGGAGCCCUGCUGCCCAUUGCUGCUGAGCAGUGCUGUCAGCAAGCUGUCAGUGGGGCUGACAGGCCCUCGAGCUGAGCUGACAGGAUUAAUUUAAAAUCCCAUAUGGUGGAAGAGUUGACUGUCUCCCCAGCUCACUCUGUGUAUGGACAGCAGCCCUCAGCUGGCAGCUUGCUGCCACCUCACCUGAGUUCCUUCUGAUCUCCAAAGCUCUUUGGUGUUCCCUCAGCCUGGCAAAGCGUAGCAGCUGUCCUGGCCAUGUGGUGCUGUGAUCCUCUCCUCUUCCUGGGAUAACAAAGCACAUCAAAGACUGUAAGGGGACACCAUGAAUGCUCAGGGUCUUGAGUUAUGGGGCUGCCCUAUGCGCCCUGGUGAGCUCGCAGCAGGGAGGUGGGCAGCUGUGCCUUAAAGCGGGGGAGCUGAGGGCUGGGUUCUGUUUGCAAGUUUGCCUUGAUUUAAUAUAACUUUGGGUGAGUGAAUUAAUCUUUCCGCAUUUGUUCCUUCUGUGGCUCCCAGCACUGAGGUUUUGUUGGUUAAUGUUUAUAAGAGUCUUUUGAAAUGUGGCUGUUGCCGUGUGGAUCCAACAAAGCGAAGCAACAGUGAACAAUGAGAGAGUAUUUUCCAAAAUACAGUGUAGUAAAAGCGACUGAGAUAAGGUCUGCUCUCAUUAAUUUAAAAAAUGAUAUUUUUCUUUCUUUCAAUAAAAAC